GUCUUAUUGAUUAUAAUUUUAAGUCUAAUCUGCCCAGUGAUUUAUUAAAUGGCUGCAGUAUUUUAACUGUACAAAGGUAGCAUAAUAAUUAGUUUCUUAAUUAGGAACUGGUAUGAAAGAUUGAACGAGACAAUAACUGUCUUAAUAUAAAUUUAAGAAUUUUAUUUUUAAGUUAAAAAGCUUAAAUUUUUUUAAAAGACGAGAAGACCCUAUAGAAUUUUAUAUUAUUUUUAUAUUUAAAUAAUAGUAUUAAAAUUUUAAAUUUUAUUAAGAGUAUUUAAUUGGGGUGAUUGAAAAAUUAAUUUAACUUUUUUUUUAUUUUUUACAUUUAUUUAUGUAUUAUUGAUCCAAUAUUUUUGAUUAUAAGAUUAAAUUACCUUAGGGAUAACAGCGUAAUUUUUUUAGAGAGUUCUUAUCGAUAAAAGAGAUUGCGACCUCGAUGUUGGAUUAAAGUUAAUUUUUGAUGCAGAAGUUAAAAUAUUAGGUCUGUUCGACCUUUAAAACUUUACAUGAUCUGAGUUUAAAUCGGCGUGAGCCAGGUUGGAUUCUAUCUUUAAAUAGUUAUUAUAUUUUAGUACGAAAGGACCAAAUAUUAUUUAUAUUAAAUUUUAGAGAAUAUUAUUAUUAUUUUGGCAGAUUAGUGCUUUAAAUUUAGAAUUUAAAUAUGUAAAUUUUACAGAUAAUA
Molecule: unclassified non-coding RNA, 685 nt
Filed under: Quaestus noltei
Lineage: Eukaryota; Metazoa; Arthropoda; Insecta; Coleoptera; Leiodidae
Description: partial contains 16S ribosomal RNA (rrnL) and tRNA-Leu (trnL)
Rfam family: Bacterial large subunit ribosomal RNA (bases 384-542)
Source: RNAcentral